Molecule: long non-coding RNA, 313 nt
Organism: Oncorhynchus kisutch (coho salmon)
Lineage: Eukaryota; Metazoa; Chordata; Actinopteri; Salmoniformes; Salmonidae
Exons: 2
Source: RefSeq, a predicted model, not a curated record
ACCCGUCUUACCGGGCGGGCACUAGGACCCAGGGGAGGCUGCUGCUGCAGAGGCUGCUGCACCGCUCGUGACUGUCAGUCCUCCUUGUAGCUCAUUGGUUAAGCUGUGGCUCGAGCCUGUUAACAGUUAACGGACAGGAAACGGCUCUGACAGGACACAUUCAUGUCGAGGCAGUGAUGUGAAUGUGUGGCUACUGUUUGGCCUUAGCUCACGCCAAAUAAAUGAAAGAUACCCCACAAGCCAAUCGGGACCUUCUCUUGUGAAGCCCAGACGGAAGAGAGAGAACAAAGGCUGAACCUUAACUUCCAAUGCC